AAAAAAAAGGCAUUCUGACUCCUAUUUCUUAGUUUUCCUUAAGCUCCCAAACACGUUUAGGUUUAAAAGGACUUUAUAGUCAAACAUUAUCCCAUUUUAUAAAGAAAAGAAAAUUAGAGCCUAAAAAUGGACAAAACAGAACUUAAAAGGAAUUCAGUUCUAGGUCCCCUGAACGUAGAAGAAACAGCGCUGUUACACUGGGGUAAGUAAGGUUGCUAAGCUGUACCACAAAGACCUACUACUAACCACUCUCCUGAAAAUGGUUCCAUAGGUCCCAACAAACAAAUCUCAAUCUAUUGGAAGGGUACAGGGGGAAAGGUUUCGGUGCUAAGGCUGAGCAACACACUGCUGUCUCAUCUUGUGAGGUCGCAGGUACAGUUUGCAUUUGAUUUUGUGUCCCGAGAAAAAGGGAAGUUGGUGGAGGACCCCCUCCCCCCCAUAAAUUAUUGCUAGGCUUUUUCCAAAAUGAAGGUUUAAGGCUCAAGGCAAGAACCCAGAGGCUGUUUCCUUAAUUGCAACUUACCUCAGUAACAUAAGCACGGGCUAAAGGAGAAGAUGACUCCUCUUGUUUAAGGUCGGUGUCAGAGAUUCCUUCCGCUCUGACCAUAACACUAUUCAUCAGUUCUGUGCUAUUUUGGUCACUGAAUUUGGAUACAUGAGCAUCAUUAAAUGAUGGCUCUACAGUAAUCUUAGGCUGAUGAAUUUCAUCUGGGAAAGUGUCUGCUUCUAGGGCAUCUGGAGGCUCAGGAAAAUCAGAUGAGUGAAUAUCACUAUCUACUGUCAGUUCUGCUUGGGAUAUGGAAGAAGUGAUGUCUUCUGUGGCAACAGUCUGAAUGAUGACUCGUGGUGUGUGACACUGCACCGUGACGUUGUCACUUGUGUUUAACAAAUGUUCUGGCUAUAAAAUGUCAAAGAAAAUGAUCAGUGGCAAAAUGAGAAAGUCCCAACCAGACUUCAGUUAUAGGCGACAACUACCAUUUACAGGUGGCACCUGCCUGUCCCCACCCCUGCCCUCUCACCUCUGGAACUGCAGUGGUCUAGGACCGCCCCCCCCAUCAUUCCAUCUCCUGUAAGGAGACACACAGGGGCAAGGGUUAUACCCCAGUAAAGGCAGAGUAAUGGUGUAAAACUAUGCUCCUAAGACAACAGCAGUAGGAAAAAUUGUUUAAAUAAGUGGACUCUAUUAGUUCUAGCUCUUAAACUUAGUAUCAUUUAAUCCUGGUCCCUGACAGGUACUCCAAUACUUAGAUUACAUAAUCCAUUUCUCCCCUAGACCUACUGUUAUUAUUGAAGGCACAUGGGUUCUCUCAUAGUAUUAAAAACAAAAAGCUUCUGGUGACACUUAUCAGCCAGUCUUCUCUACAGAAACUAGAAAAAUCAAGGAACUGAUGGAACAUACGGAUAAAGCGUGAACAAUGAUCUGUUCAGGAGAAGCAGGUGCGGCAGCCGUCAGGGUUACUGUGGGACUAGCCGUCAGAGUGAGGGGAAGGCCUUGGCUUGAGCUUGUCUGAAGCAGGUAGGUGCCUGGAGUGCCAGUGGGCUGUAAAUGGAAAGACUGAAGCAAAAAAAUUAAGAUCAACAUAGGUGCAACAGACUGAGUAAAUAAGCUUACUUAAGUCUAGCUUUAUAUCUGAAAUGGAGUCUUUAAUUUACUAGCCACAAAUGUACUUCCCAAUCCUGAAGGUGCCCUCAAGUAACAAAAUGAAGGGUAUAAUACUGACUUGUCCUACGUCCUUACACUUGUCUUGGAGGUUUAACAGAGAACCUUGAUCCUGCUCUUCACUCCCAUGUAUUUCUAUGGUCUGGUCUUAGCCAUUUAUUUCAAGGCACCAAGACACGGUAGCAUAAGCCACUGUGUCCAGUGCAGUAACCCGCACACAGUCUUCCUUCACUGUCUGUCUAGCAUGUAAAGAAUUGGCACUCUCCCCACUUUUUAAAAGUUUCACAUUUUUGAAAAGGUACUACAGAGUUUACUUGAACAGAUUUUUUCCAUAGUAUAAUUUUAGGAACUAUUUUUUAUACUAAGGCGAAAUGUACAGAGAGUGAUUAGUGUUCUGAAUGAAAAAGAGUAACUUUGAAAAGCUGGUUAACUGAUAGUAAGUUUAUCUUGAUAGGUUUCACAGAACUGUCCCGAAACUAUUCAACUUCUAUGCUUGAUAAUUUGAGUUUGGUUUAUCCUUUUCUCCCACAGGGAAAGUAUUUACACUUAGACGGUGAUGUUGAAGUCCUAGAGCCUGUGGUCUUGUGUACUGAAGUUAUAAUAGCUCUCUUGGUACUAGCUCAAUGAAAGUGCUUUGAGAAUUACACAUCACAUCAACUCCUCAAGGGAAGAAAAGACAGUUACCCAAAGAAACAGAGGAGAUAUUUAAGUGAAGAUCUACUAAGAUUCGUAUCUCUUUAGCUGAGGCAAAGAAUUUCUGACCUCUAAGUUCUGAGGAGUAAAUAUCUGGUAAGACAAGGGAAGGACUUAAGAAGCAAAUAAUACAUUACCAGGGAAUGAAACAUCCUUAUGAUUUGCAAUUUGCCUUUUGAUAGUCCACCAUUUACUUCGAAGCCAUUGUGGUGAACGGACACUGCUCCAUCCCUCUGCUAACAGAUCCCAGUUGAUGUCAUUUUCAUCAGCUACAUCAAGCUCUGCUAUCCUACAGGUUACAAAACAAACGUCUGUUAGAACCUGUUAAUGGAUUUCUCUGGAAGAACCCUCCUCUGACUACACAUGAUGGCACCGGCAAUAAAGGGGACAGCAGCUUUUGUCAUGGAAAAGCUACUGUUAAUUGCAUGGGAAAGAAUUUCAAGGGUGCAGAACUGCUCCCAGAGCUGAGAGCUAUGACUGAGCACUGGCAAAAGCCUUUUGUUAAUGGUACAAGCAAGGGGCCAGACCGUAAACGGUCAGAAGCAGAUGAAGCACUGUAAAGGCAAGGGAGUAGCUAAAGAUUAGAAGAGGGUAAGAACAGGGUUAGUUAUAUAGUGUUCUGCCAUGUUUUAGAGUGUGUCAUAGCAAGUUACUUCCUAGAUCUGAGCUUUUCCAUAUCUGUAAUAAAAAUGUUGAGAAAUGA
Leptonychotes weddellii (Weddell seal) is the source of this 3056-nucleotide non-coding RNA. The record is from RefSeq and is a predicted model, not a curated record. NCBI's taxonomy places the organism in Eukaryota, Metazoa, Chordata, Mammalia, Carnivora, Phocidae.